Molecule: ribosomal RNA, 425 nt
Filed under: uncultured Clostridium sp.
Lineage: Bacteria; Bacillati; Bacillota; Clostridia; Eubacteriales; Clostridiaceae
Description: bacterial SSU rRNA
Rfam family: Bacterial small subunit ribosomal RNA
Source: RNAcentral
UGGGGAAUAUUGCACAAUGGAGGAAACUCUGAUGCAGCGACGCCGCGUGAGUGAAGAAGUAAUUCGUUAUGUAAACUUCUUUUAUCAGGGACGAAGUAAGUGACGGUACCUGAUGAAUAAGCCACGGCUAACUACGUGCCAGCAGCCGCGGUAAUACGUAGGUGGCAAGCGUUAUCCGGAUUUACUGGGUGUAAAGGGCGCGUAGGCGGGGAUACAAGUCAGAUGUGAAAUCUAUGGGCUUAACCCAUAAACUGCAUUUGAAACUGUAUCUCUUGAGUGUCGGAGAGGUAGACGGAAUUCCUAGUGUAGCGGUGAAAUGCGUAGAUAUUAGGAGGAACACCAGUGGCGAAGGCGGUCUACUGGACGAUAACUGACGCUGAGGCGCGAAAGCGUGGGGAGCAAACAGGAUUAGAUACCCUGGUAGU